AUUGAACGCUGGCGGCAGGCCUAACACAUGCAAGUCGAGCGGAUGAAGGGAGCUUGCUCCUGGAUUCAGCGGCGGACGGGUGAGUAAUGCCUAGGAAUCUGCCUGGUAGUGGGGGAUAACGUCCGGAAACGGGCGCUAAUACCGCAUACGUCCUGAGGGAGAAAGUGGGGGAUCUUCGGACCUCACGCUAUCAGAUGAGCCUAGGUCGGAUUAGCUAGUUGGUGGGGUAAAGGCCUACCAAGGCGACGAUCCGUAACUGGUCUGAGAGGAUGAUCAGUCACACGGGAACUGAGACACGGUCCAGACUCCUACGGGAGGCAGCAGUGGGGAAUAUUGGACGAUGGGCGAAAGCCUGAUCCAGCCAUGCCGCGUGUGUGAAGAAGGUCUUCGGAUUUUAAAGCACUUUAAGUUGGGAGGAAGGGCAGUAAGUUAAUACCUUGCUGUUUUGACGUUACCAACAGAAUAAGCACCGGCUAACUUCGUG
This 484-nucleotide ribosomal RNA is filed under the name uncultured bacterium. Its description in RNAcentral is "partial 16S ribosomal RNA". It matches the Rfam family "Bacterial small subunit ribosomal RNA", at positions 30 to 507 of the family's 1533-position model. The record is from RNAcentral.